AUUGAACGCUGGCGGAAUGCUUUACACAUGCAAGUCGAACGGCAGCACGGGGCAACCUGGUGGCGAGUGGCGAACGGGUGAGUAAUAUAUCGGAACGUGCCCAAUCGUGGGGGAUAACGUAGCGAAAGUUACGCUAAUACCGCAUACGAUCUACGGAUGAAAGCGGGGGAUCGCAAGACCUCGCGCGAAUGGAGCGGCCGAUAUCAGAUUAGGUAGUUGGUGGGGUAAAGGUUCACCAAGCCAACGAUCUGUAGCUGGUCUGAGAGGACGACCAGCCACACUGGAACUGAGACACGGUCCAGACUCCUACGGGAGGCAGCAGUGGGGAAUUUUGGACAAUGGGCGCAAGCCUGAUCCAGCCAUUCUGCGUGCAGGAUGAAGGCC
This 384-nucleotide ribosomal RNA is filed under the name uncultured bacterium. RNAcentral's name for it is "bacterial SSU rRNA". It matches the Rfam family "Bacterial small subunit ribosomal RNA", at positions 30 to 416 of the family's 1533-position model. The record is from RNAcentral.